Molecule: ribosomal RNA, 515 nt
Filed under: uncultured bacterium
Lineage: Bacteria
Description: bacterial SSU rRNA
Rfam family: Bacterial small subunit ribosomal RNA
Source: RNAcentral
ACGAACGCUGGCGGCGUGCCUAAUACAUGCAAGUCGAACGGUCUUUCUAUGGAAGCUUGCUCCACUGAGAAGAUAGUGGCGAACGGGUGAGUAACACGUGGGUAACCUGCCCAUAAGAGGGGGAUAACAUCCGGAAACGGGUGCUAAUACCGCAUAGUUUUCUUGAUCGCAUGAUUGAGAAAGGAAAGACGGCCUUUGUGCUGUCGCUUAUGGAUGGACCCGCGGCGUAUUAGUUAGUUGGUGAGGUAACGGCUCACCAAGACGAUGAUACGUAGCCGACCUGAGAGGGUGAUCGGCCACAUUGGGACUGAGACACGGCCCAAACUCCUACGGGAGGCAGCAGUAGGGAAUCUUCCGCAAUGGACGAAAGUCUGACGGAGCAACGCCGCGUGAGUGAAGAAAGGUUUUCGGAUCGUAAAACUCUGUUGUCAGAGAAGAACAAGUUGGAGAGUAACUGCUCCAGCCUUGACGGUAUCUGACCAGAAAGCCACGGCUAACUACGUGCCAGCAGCCGC